RNAcentral lists this long non-coding RNA (327 nucleotides) under Salmo salar (Atlantic salmon). RNAcentral's name for it is "lncRNA (ENSSSAG00000085851.1)". Lineage: Eukaryota; Metazoa; Chordata; Actinopteri; Salmoniformes; Salmonidae. The record is from RNAcentral.
CUGUAACAUAACACAAUGUGAAAAAAGUCAAGGGGUCUGAAUAAUUUCUGAAUGCACUAUUUCCCAUGCAAAUAAAGCUGCUUUGAAUUGAAUUGAGACGAGAAAUGAAAAUCAAUAUGACCUUUCAUGAUGUAAAGGGGAAGACAGGCUUAUCGUUGUUCCAUAGGUCAGAGGUCAAUCCAAAAGUGGAAGAGUGCAAAAGAUUACUGGUUAUGAUCACUGUUCACAGAGUAAAUAAAAUGUGGAACGACAUACACGCUGCACUUUGGUCCGCUUCUCCUUUCGACAACCGUGACAGAAUCUCCCACCACCAAAGGACCAAGCAGC